This 912-nucleotide ribosomal RNA is filed under the name uncultured fungus. RNAcentral's name for it is "eukaryotic LSU rRNA". The stretch from base 597 to 912 matches the Rfam family "Eukaryotic large subunit ribosomal RNA", at positions 1 to 333 of the family's 3401-position model. The record is from RNAcentral. Lineage: Eukaryota; Fungi.
UUCGUAUGUGACCUGCGGAAGGAUCAUUACCAAAAGAUAAUCUUUCAACAUCUGAAAGAUCUUACCUUUGUGCUGGCUUUGACAGUUUUGUACUUUUGGGGCUUUAAAAUGGUUCAGUUAGUAAAAGGAGGGGAGUAAUCCCUUUUUCAUUGCUACUGGAUCGGCCCCAAAAAAUCAUAUCAUCCUUAUAAUUUUUUCUGAUUAAUUAACACAUGAUUUUAAUAAUCUGUUUAAAACAACUUUCAACAACGGAUCUCUUGGUUCUCGCAUCGAUGAAGAACGCAGCGAAAUGCGAUACGUAAUGUGAAUUGCAGAAUUCAGUGAAUCAUCGAAUCUUUGAACGCACAUUGCACUCCUUGGUAUUCCGAGGAGUAUGCCUGUUUCAGUAUCAUGAGCACUCUCACAACUAACCUUUGGGUGAAAUUGUGGAAUUGGAAUGCGCUGAUUUUAAUAACCAGCCCUUCUAAAAUCUAUUUCAUGACUGUCACCUAACACAGCAGUUUGGCCUAAUAGUUUUGACAUUGAUUUGUCAAAUCUUUGGCUUACAUUUGCUUCAGGUUGUCAGUUUUGAUAAUACAGAAAACUCAUUCAAAUUUUGAUCUGAAAUCAGGUAGGGCUACCCGCUGAACUUAAGCAUAUCAAUAAGCGGAGGAAAAGAAACUAACAAGGAUUCCCCUAGUAACGGCGAGUGAAGCGGGAAGAGCUCAAAUUUAAAAUCUAGUUUGCUUGCAAACUCGAGUUGUAGUCUGAGAAACGUUUUCCAUGAAAGCUGAGCACAGUCCUUUGGAACAGGCAUCAUAGAGGUGAGAUCCGUCAUGUCUCAGUCUUUCAUUUGUGAUACGUUUCUAGAGUCAGGUUGUUUGGGAUGCAGCUAAAUGGUUGUAAUUUCUCUAGCUAAAAUUGGCGAAGCAU